This 484-nucleotide ribosomal RNA is filed under the name Tylos granulatus. RNAcentral describes it as "partial 16S large subunit ribosomal RNA". It matches the Rfam family "Archaeal large subunit ribosomal RNA", at positions 1994 to 2693 of the family's 2987-position model. Lineage: Eukaryota; Metazoa; Arthropoda; Malacostraca; Isopoda; Tylidae. The record is from RNAcentral.
UGAAUGUUAAACGGCCGCAGUACUCUGACUGUGCCAAGGUAGCAUAAUAAUUUGUCUCUUAAUUGGAGGAGUAGAAUAAAUGGUUCGACGAGAAUUUAACUGUCUUAGCUUGUUAUAAAAAACUUAACUUAAAGGUUAAAAGGCCUUUAUAAAUUUAAGGGACGAUAAGACCCUAUAAAGCUUUAUUUAUAUAAAUAUAAAUUAUUUUAAAGAAAAAAAUAAAUAUUUGUAAAUUUUGCUGGGGCGGUAAGUAAUAAAACUUUACUAAUUCCAACAUCUUGAAUGAAAUUAAUUUAGCGUUGUUUCAAACAAUAAUAACAAGUUACUUUAGGGAUAACAGCAUAAUCUUCUUAUAGAGUCCCUAUCGACAAGAAAGAUUAUGACCUCGAUGUUGAAUUGAGUUCCUUUCAUUAAGCAGCUAUAAUGAUCAAGAAGUCUGUUCGACUUGUAAUUACUCACAUGAUCUGAGUUAAAAACCGGGAGA